GNAUGGGCGCAGCCUGAUGCAGCGACGCCGCGUGCGGGAUGGAGGCCUUCGGGANANUAAACCUCUUNNAUCGGGGAGCAAGCGAGAGUGAGUUUACCCGCUUGAAUAAGCACCGGCUAACUACGUGCCAGCAGCCGCGGUAAUACGUAGGGUGCAAGCGUUAUCCGGAAUUAUUGGGCGUAAAGGGCUCGUAGGCGGUUCGUCGCGUCCGGUGUGAAAGUCCAUCGCUUAACGGUGGAUCUGCGCCGGGUACGGGCGGGCUGGAGUGCGGUAGGGGAGACUGGAAUUCCCGGUGUAACGGUGGAAUGUGUAGAUAUCGGGAAGAACACCAAUGGCGAAGGCAGGUCUCUGGGCCGUUACUGACGCUGAGGAGCGAAAGCGUGGGGAGCGAACAGGAUUAGAUACCCUGGUAGUCCAAGGGCGAAUUC
RNAcentral lists this ribosomal RNA (428 nucleotides) under uncultured bacterium. RNAcentral describes it as "SSU rRNA". It matches the Rfam family "Bacterial small subunit ribosomal RNA", at positions 369 to 808 of the family's 1533-position model. The record is from RNAcentral.